CCUACGGGAGGCAGCAGUGGGGAAUUUUGGACAAUGGGCGAAAGCCUGAUCCAGCAAUGCCGCGUGAGUGAAGAAGGCCUUCGGGUUGUAAAGCUCUUUUGUCAGGGAAGAAACGGUGAAAGCUAAUAUCUUUUGCUAAUGACGGUACCUGAAGAAUAAGCACCGGCUAACUACGUGCCAGCAGCCGCGGUAAUACGUAGGGUGCAAGCGUUAAUCGGAAUUACUGGGCGUAAAGCGUGCGCAGGCGGUUUUGUAAGUCUGAUGUGAAAUCCCCGGGCUCAACCUGGGAAUUGCAUUGGAGACUGCAAGGCUAGAAUCUGGCAGAGGGGGGUAGAAUUCCACGUGUAGCAGUGAAAUGCGUAGAUAUGUGGAGGAACACCGAUGGCGAAGGCAGCCCCCUGGGUCAAGAUUGACGCUCAUGCACGAAAGCGUGGGGAGCAAACAGGAUUAGAUACCCUGGUAGUCCACGCCCUAAACGAUGUCUACUAGUUGUCGGGUCUUAAUUGACUUGGUAACGCAGCUAACGCGUGAAGUAGACCGCCUGGGGAGUACGGUCGCAAGAUUAAAACCUCAAAGGAUUGACGG
This 585-nucleotide ribosomal RNA is filed under the name uncultured bacterium. RNAcentral's name for it is "bacterial SSU rRNA". It matches the Rfam family "Bacterial small subunit ribosomal RNA", at positions 338 to 916 of the family's 1533-position model. The record is from RNAcentral.